Molecule: non-coding RNA, 46 nt
Filed under: Schistosoma mansoni
Lineage: Eukaryota; Metazoa; Platyhelminthes; Trematoda; Strigeidida; Schistosomatidae
Source: RNAcentral
GCACUGCUGAUGAGUCCCAUAAUAGGACGAAACGGCCGUCCAGUUC